RNAcentral lists this ribosomal RNA (484 nucleotides) under uncultured bacterium. Its description in RNAcentral is "partial 16S ribosomal RNA". It matches the Rfam family "Bacterial small subunit ribosomal RNA", at positions 29 to 507 of the family's 1533-position model. The record is from RNAcentral.
AUUGAACGCUGGCGGCAUGCUUUACACAUGCAAGUCGAACGGCAGCGCGGGCUUCGGCCUGGCGGCGAGUGGCGAACGGGUGAGUAAUACAUCGGAACGUGCCCAGUAGUGGGGGAUAGCUCGGCGAAAGCCGGAUUAAUACCGCAUACGACCUGAGGGUGAAAGCGGGGGAUCUUCGGACCUCGCGCUAUUGGAGCGGCCGAUGGCAGAUUAGCUAGUUGGUGGGGUAAAGGCCUACCAAGGCGACGAUCUGUAGCUGGUCUGAGAGGACGACCAGCCACACUGGGACUGAGACACGGCCCAGACUCCUACGGGAGGCAGCAGUGGGGAAUUUUGGACAAUGGGCGAAAGCCUGAUCCAGCAAUGCCGAGUGUGUGAUGAAGGCCUUCGGGUUGUAAAGCACUUUUGACGGGAACGAAAAGGACUGUGCCAAUACCACGGUUCGAUGACGGUACCCGCAGAAUAAGCACCGGCUAACUACGUG